GGGAGGUCGGGCUUCGAGCGUCCCCGGGCGCUACAGGUGGGUGAAGUUAAGUGGCUGCUGGAGCGUCUCGGGGGACAGCCAGUGUCUGCGGCGCCGAGAGGGCCGUUCGUGGACUCAAAUGGGUAUCACCCCUACCGUUUAUAGUCCUCCCAAUAGUCUGCAUCUCGUUUUGUCGUGGCUGGUCGUGUACUCCUUGUGGAGUCUGAAGAUAAUCAAGCUAAGCACACAGGAUGACUGCCCAAGAAGCAAGUGACCGCAAUGGUGAAGCUGGGCCUCCACCCUGCCGUCUGGCUGACUUCAAGGCCUGCACAGCCUCUUAAGCCGCAUCCUGCUUGCUGCCUCCAAGCUUUCCUGACUGCAGCCUUUUCUCCAGUCACUUUUGAUAGAGGAGUUAAGAAGAAAUUACUUAGGCAGAUAGUGAGGGUAUGGAAGUCCUCGGUAAGGUUUUCCUUUUAAUGAAAAGCAGCCCCAAAUCAUUUUCCUUUCUAACAAACAGCAGCCUGUAAAAUCAAGCUGCAGACAUAGAUGCCGGCAGUUGUGCCAAUCAUGUUCAGAAUGGUGGCUCCCUUCUCCCUUCUCUGCCAGCCAUAUGUACAGUAAGGAGCAGACAACAUGGCUCGGGCCAAGGGUAAAGUUGAUUUGCAUAAUAAGAUUAGGGUGGGGCCCACCAGCCUUCCCCUGCACUAUGUAAACAUCACGCCUGACUGAACCAAUCUGUGAGCCCUAUGUAAAUCAGACAAUGCCUUCUCAAGCCUGACUAUAAAAUCCUGUGAGUCCACUGCCAGCCAGUCUUUCCUCUGGGAAGCCCCUCUCUCUCCCUAGAGAGAGCUGGUUUCCUUUCUCCUUUCUUUUUCUUUUGCAUAUUAAACUUCCACUCCUAAACUCCUCAUGUGUGUCCCUAUCCUAAAUUUUCUUGGUGCGAGACAAUGAACCAUGGGUAUUCACCCCACACAACGUAGCCUCUUCACUUUCUUCUUAAAUUUACCCAGACUGACCUUUCUAAUUCCCUGAGGCCACUUCUCAUUUUCCUGCUUCAGAACCAGCAGGAACUCCUGAGUGAAGUCCGAAUUCCUCUGCCGGACUUUUACCAUUUCUCUGUGAUCUGGCCUAAUGUGGACAAGUCUGUAUUUCCGCGCUGCAGGCCCUUCUCUGCAGCGGGGUGGUCAGCACUUGGCCUCCUUUGUGUCUCAAGCUGCGAGGCUCCCUCCCCCUUCAGCCUCUUGGCUUCACUCUAGUUUCAGUCUUCUGUGCUUUAUCGUUUCUCAUGCUGCACUCAGGCGCCUC
RNAcentral lists this long non-coding RNA (1284 nucleotides) under Homo sapiens (human). RNAcentral's name for it is "HSALNT0009730". Lineage: Eukaryota; Metazoa; Chordata; Mammalia; Primates; Hominidae. The record is from RNAcentral.